RNAcentral lists this long non-coding RNA (243 nucleotides) under Gossypium barbadense (sea-island cotton). Its description in RNAcentral is "long non-coding RNA (GBAR_LNC010803)". The record is from RNAcentral. Lineage: Eukaryota; Viridiplantae; Streptophyta; Magnoliopsida; Malvales; Malvaceae.
UAAAGAAGCAUCACCGUACACAACAAAAUCUUUUCCCAACUCUGGUAAAGUCAAUACCAGUGCCUCUGUCAAUAUUUGCUUCAACAUUUCAAACAUUUCUGACUGUAACACCCCUUACCCGUAUCCGAGGCCGGGCUAAGGUACGAGGCGUUACCAGACAAACAUACAAACAUUAAACUAAAAUAUGAGCCAUAAAAUUUUAUUCAUAUUUCAAACCGUUCAUUCUCUUACACAUAGUCCCUU